GCCUACGCAAAUGCAAUCGAACUGUCAUGCGAUGGAACACACCUACGGUUAGGGGGAUGCUCCAACAGGUCAAGAGGUUAAUUGUUAUUGAGACAGAGGAAAUGUACAAGGCCCGCAAACAGAAGGAGGAAACGCACCGAGCUCUACGUCCUCCGCUGGUCAUAAGUCAUAAACCUCCCUCGCUUACUGAUGCUUUAUGAAGUCCACUGUGUUCUUAAGGAUAUUUAUUAUCUUCUUGCUACUAAAACUAUUUAAUGCCAUUGUUUAAGGCUUUCUUCUCCAAUGGACAAAGUUUUGUUUUGAA
Non-coding RNA from Vigna umbellata (rice bean), 304 nucleotides. Lineage: Eukaryota; Viridiplantae; Streptophyta; Magnoliopsida; Fabales; Fabaceae. The record is from RefSeq and is a predicted model, not a curated record.